This 513-nucleotide long non-coding RNA is filed under the name Neogale vison (American mink). Its description in RNAcentral is "Neovison vison (American mink) lncRNA (ENSNVIG00000001738.1)". Lineage: Eukaryota; Metazoa; Chordata; Mammalia; Carnivora; Mustelidae. The record is from RNAcentral.
CUAAUUUCUCCCCUAAGAGGACGUGUCCUCAGGCUGUUCCUCUGCGUGUGUGUGAAAAACACACUUAGCUGGCUGAGCAGAUCCCGGUGCUAGAUCGGACAGACCAACCUGAGGAGGCCCGUGGAGCCCCGGGGCCUGCAGGAGGGGUCCCGCGGCCAGGAGUGGAGGCCCCCCUCCCGAGGAAGAGGUCCAGGCUGGGGCACCCAGCCGCAGCAGCGUCCAGGCCUCGGGGGUACCCCCACUCCCCAUCCUGGAGGCCAAGGUCAGCUCAGGCUUGGCUAGGCUUCCUGGUCUCAUUUCUCACGGCCCUAGGCACCAGGCAAGCAGGUGGUUCCUCUUGCGUACCUCCGACUGCAUAGCUCAAAAGCAAGUGGCCACACGCCCUGGGAGACCAGAAGAAGAUUUCCUGGCCAUUCAGGUGAGACUCCCAGACCUGGCAGAGUUUGAGGAUGUUGGCGGGGGAGGCAGAACAGUAGGCUGGAGGGACCGUGGAGGCACCCUCUGCCCUCUGAC